GUUCGAUCCUGGCUCAGACCAGACGCUGGCGGGAUGCUUUACACACAUGCAAGUCGAACGGCAGCACGGACUUCGGUCUGGUGGCGAGUGGCGAACAGGUGAGUAAUGUAUCGGAACGUGCCUAGUAAGCGGGGAUAACUGCGGCGUGGCUAAUGCCACUUACGCCCUUCCAGGAAAGCGGGGGACCUUCGGGCCUCGCCCUAUUAAAGCAAUGAUAUCGGAUUAGCUAGUUGGUGGGAGUAACAGCUCCUUAAGGCGGCGAUCAUGCGCUGGUUUGAAGGAUGACCCAACCACACUGGGACUGAGACACGGCCCAGACUCCUGCAGGAGGCAGCAGUGGGAAUUUUGGAUAAUGGAAACCUGAUUCAGCCAUCCCGCGUGUGCGAUGAAGGCCUUCGGGUUGUAAAGCACUUUUGACAGGAAAAGAAACGGCACGGGAUAAUACCCGUGCAACUGACGGUACCUGCAGAAUAAGCACCGGCUAACCGUUUUGCCAGCUGGCCGCGGUGUGCGUAGGGUGCAAGCGUUAAUCGGAAUUACUGGGCGUAAAGCGGUAGGGCAGUUCGGAAAGAAAGAUGUGAAAUCCCAGAGCUUAACUUUGGAACUGCAUUUUUAACUACCGAGCUAGAACGUGUCAGGGAGGUAGAUUCCCGCGUGUAGCAGUGAAAUGCGUAGAUAUGCGGAGGAACACCGAUGGCGAAGGCAACCUCCUGGGAUAACACUGACGCUCACGCACGAAAGCGAUGAGCCACUUGGGAUUAGAUACCCUGGUGGUCCACUGAAACGAUGUCAAUAGCUGUUUUGGACCUUCGGGCCUUAGUAGCGCAGCUAACAGUGAGGUUAAGCCGCCCUGGGAAGGCCACAGUGCGAGAGUUAAAGCUCAAGGAAUUGACAGGGACCCGCACAAGCGGUGGGUGAUGUGGAUUAAUUCGAUGCGCAAAAAAACCUUACCUACCCUUGACAUGUCUGAAUCCGAAGAGAUUUGGAACGCUGCUAGAACCGGAACACAGGUGCCAUGGCUGUCGUCAGCUCGUGUCGUGAGAUGUUAAGGUUAAAUCCCAUAACAAACGCAACCAUACUUAGUGGAAGGUUGCUGCGAAAGGGCACUCUAUUGAGACUGCCGGUGACAAACCGGAGGAAGGUGGGGAUGACGUCAGAGUCCUCAUGGCCCUUAUGGGUAGGGCUUCCACGUCGCAAUGGGUCGGGACGAGGGGUCGCCAACCCGCGAGGAGCCAAUCAGAAACCCGAUCGUAGUCCGGAUCCAUAGUCACCGCUCAGCUGCGUGAGUCGGAAUCGCUAGUAAUCGCUGGAUCAGCAUGUCGCGGUGCGACCGUUCCCGGGUCUUGUACCCGCCCGUCACACCAUGGAGUGAUUUUACCAAGUAGUUAACCUAACCGUAAGGAGGGCGUUACCACGUGGGAUUCAUGACUGGGGUGAAGUCGUAACAAGGUAA
RNAcentral lists this ribosomal RNA (1453 nucleotides) under uncultured Bordetella sp. Its description in RNAcentral is "partial 16S-23S ribosomal RNA intergenic spacer". It matches the Rfam family "Bacterial small subunit ribosomal RNA". Lineage: Bacteria; Pseudomonadati; Pseudomonadota; Betaproteobacteria; Burkholderiales; Alcaligenaceae. The record is from RNAcentral.